GCCCCCGUAGCUCAAUGGAUAGAGCAGCGGCCUUCUAAGCCGUGGGUUGCAGGUUCGAGUCCUGCCGGGGGCG
RNAcentral lists this transfer RNA (73 nucleotides) under Chloroflexota bacterium. RNAcentral's name for it is "Chloroflexi bacterium (hydrothermal vent metagenome) tRNA-Arg". It matches the Rfam family "tRNA". From Rfam's summary of the family: Transfer RNA (tRNA) molecules are approximately 80 nucleotides in length. Their secondary structure includes four short double-helical elements and three loops (D, anti-codon, and T loops). Lineage: Bacteria; Bacillati; Chloroflexota. The record is from RNAcentral.